This 446-nucleotide ribosomal RNA is filed under the name uncultured bacterium. RNAcentral describes it as "bacterial SSU rRNA". It matches the Rfam family "Bacterial small subunit ribosomal RNA", at positions 330 to 793 of the family's 1533-position model. The record is from RNAcentral.
UCCAGACUCCUACGGGAGGCAGCAGUGGGGAAUAUUGCACAAUGGGGGGAACCCUGAUGCAGCGACGCCGCGUGGGUGAAGAAGCGCCUCGGCGCGUAAAGCCCUGUCAGCAGGGAAGAAAAUGACGGUACCUGAAGAAGAAGCCCCGGCUAACUACGUGCCAGCAGCCGCGGUAAUACGUAGGGGGCAAGCGUUAUCCGGAUUUACUGGGUGUAAAGGGAGCGUAGACGGCAGCACAAGUCUGGAGUGAAAUCCCGGGGCUUAACCCCGGAACUGCUUUGGAAACUGUGCGGCUGGAGUGCAGGAGGGGUAAGCGGAAUUCCUAGUGUAGCGGUGAAAUGCGUAGAUAUUAGGAGGAACACCGGUGGCGAAGGCGGCUUACUGGACUGUAACUGACGUUGAGGCUCGAAAGCGUGGGGAGCAAACAGGAUUAGAUACCCUUGUAU